UUCAAGACUGAUAUUAUUCGCAAGUGAAGUGUGGACUGCAACUGAAUAAAAGAAAAGUUACAAUCUGAUUGGUAUAAAAGUUUUAAAUUUUUUGAAAUUUAAGAAAAUUGUGGGAAAUAAACUCAAGGGAAAUUACUAUGGAUAUUGGUCAACGUUUACUUGUCAUCACAUUGAUGGCCAUACUCGUUUUCUCCAUUAUGGAAACGGUUUCCGGACAGUGCUAUGAUGGGGCUUGUCUUGAAGGAGGGAAUGCGAGGUGCGCCCAGGUUUGCAGAACGUAUUGUGGAUACAGAAGUGGUCGAUGUGGCAACUGGCACGGGCUCACUUGCAUUUGUUCCAGAUAAACCUAUUGAAGUUUGUUUCAGGAGUUAGAUUUCAUAAUGUUGAAAAUUUUUGCUGUAGUGGAUGGUAGUGUGGUAGAGAAAAAAUAGUGUUUCCAUUUUUGUUUGUUUCCGGUUUAUAAUUUCUGUACAAAUUCCAUUUUCCUUUCGUAAAUUCCAUUGGGUGAAUAAAUAGUAAACAUAUUACUCCGUAUUUAGUGCA
Folsomia candida is the source of this 543-nucleotide long non-coding RNA. RefSeq lists it as uncharacterized. The transcript has 2 exons. NCBI's taxonomy places the organism in Eukaryota, Metazoa, Arthropoda, Collembola, Entomobryomorpha, Isotomidae. The record is from RefSeq and is a predicted model, not a curated record.